AAUGCGAUUUUUUAAUUUUGAGGGCACCGAUCAAUAGGAGUCAGAGUUCCUUAUCAAAUCCAUUUGCUGAUUUGGUACAACUCUUUAAUGCCGCUGCUUUUAAUAUCGGUGCAGGUCUUGGUGUACGUUGCAAUGUUUAUGACUUUCAACGCAAUAUCGUCCUUAGUUUCUGUCGAUGACGGUGAGCCAGACGUAAUUCCAAGCUUUCAAAGGCAAAUUGGAAUUGAGAAUUAUUAUCUAAAGUAUCCUCUGAUUUAAGCUCUCAGUAGUGCUAACGUUUUCGUAGUAAUUCUUACUGAAGAAAUUUCAAGUCGGUGAAAGCGACAGAGGUUUUCUUGAAUGUGACUGCCGAUUUAGUUCCUGUCCAUUGACGCGAAGUGAUGUAGAGCCUACAUCCUUAGAGUUUCAACCACGUCAAUGUGUUCAGAUCCAAUCGUCUUAAGUCCAUCCCAAAGAUGGCGAUCAAUGAACCUUGCUCAGUAUUAGAUUUUUUUUAAUAGCCUGCAUUAGCAAGUUGUAUGGAGUGGAAACUGAGACAAUAUUAAGCUUUCGUAUUCCUUGUGCUGUUAUGUGUGGCGAUGAGCUUGUUCAGAUUACAGCUCUCUCUAUUAAGUGCCGUCUCUUUGCGUUUGUUGGCGAACCUCCCUUCUGUGUGCAAGAUCAGGCUGUGAGGCCCUGUACUCCGCUGUUACUCAUUUCAUAAAUUUACUCAAGUAUUGACCGAUUAGCAGAAGAGAUAUUGCUCAGUAAUGUUACAGUGUAGCUUCAGCACGCGAAAGUUCCUUUACGUGUCAGCAGAGCUUUCUGUUUAACUAUUUGAAUUUCUCCUGUGCUGCGGAAGUCAAAUAUUGUAGGAUAAUUUUCAGAAUGGGAUGCUCUACCUCGAGAGUCGACAACGAAGACGCAAGAAGAGGAAGCGAUUGAUGAAGCAAACUGUAGCGUAUCGGCGUAACUUCGCAGCUUCACAAGCGAAAUUAAUUUCUUCUCUUUCCGACAAUUUGCAGAGGGAGAGGAGAUAAAGGAUGCAGGGGCUAACAUGAUGUGUCCUCCGGAAGCACCAAUGACUUCGAGGACAGUUGUCCUGUCACCAGGCCCUCCUCCCUUGUUACCAGCGUGGUCCCUUACAUAUGGUUUUUCUCGUGACUUUACAUCUUUUCCUCCUCACUCAUCGCUUCAAAGAAAUCCUUCAGCGACACGAUCACUUAAUUCAACAGCUGCUAGUUCUCCAGAGAGUUACAGCAUGGAUUUCUUGCCGCCUCCUGCUCCUUUUAUUGCGAAUGAGAACCGAACGGCACAUACUCCCCUGUCCGUAUCAACCAAAACACAUACAAGUUAGAAGGCAUUCCAAGUUCUUGCGUACGAGGAUCUUACAAAUUGGAGGACAUUCCCCCUCUACCUUUGGUUCAACCCAUUCAACUCGAUGAUGAUUGUAGAUACUCCUGUCUGACUCUAUCACAUGCUGCCAGAGAGAUUAACUCUCCUCCACCCGUCGCCAGUCGGUUAGUUGGCAGGAUUUGUUUGUAGAUCCAUUUCGAUCUUUAUCCUCAACAUUCAGUUACACAGAACUCAAAAGGAACCAUGAAAUGGAAGCAAGGGAAUGUCAGGAAAUGGGGGAACAAAGUAGACAAAAGUUUUAGCGGAGACAGAUACUGAAAGUGGACUAUGGCGGGAUCAAGACUUCACACAGGAGGUUGACAUACUUUUAUUUCGGUUCUCAAAACCGUAUUCUCCUUCUGUUCGAGUUUGCGUUCUAUGUAUAAUGGCUCACUGGACUCGAACGGAGUGAAGGAUGUUCAGACAUCAGGAACUCCAAACCUGAACCUGAGAAGCUUCCAAAAUCCUUAUCGAAGGUUCAGGACCAAAUAUCGACAAAUCCAAAAUCAGUGAACGCAGUGAAGGCGCCUGUAUCGAGGAAACCUUUGAAGCUCGAACAACGGGAGAAUACGGUUUUGAAAACCGAAAUGGAUCUGGCUGUUAUCAAGAUGAAGAGUAGUGAUCGGAACCUGCUCGACGUUCUGACGGAGGUUGAUGAUUAUUUUUUGAAAGCUGCCGAAAGAGGAGAGGAUAUUUCACGCAUUCUUGAGACAAAGAAAAUAUAAUAUAAUUAAUUUUUUCAGAGCUGACUCAUAUCUCUGAAUAUGAUACUAUGGGGUUUUUGAAAUCUGGAGGCAGAGGCUCUUGAAAUCGACUUGGAGAAAAAAUACUAUUUGCUAAAAAUCCCAAGAUGCAAAAAAGGAGGAUGAAAUUAACACAGACAAAACUGGGACGAGUAUAAGGGCUUUUUAAAUUUAAAUGGUGGUAGCUAUUCAAGCCGUAGAUGGUGCCACAAUUACCUCGAUGGGAACUAUGUGGAGGGGCAUUAUCUUUCUGCCAUCAAGCUCAGUUCAAAGCAGUUAAAGCUAUGAAUAGGCUCGAUAUCUCUGCUGCCUGUAAACCAACUACAAGCUUUCAUAGUGAUUCAACAGCACAACUCGAACUAGCUCUUCAGAGGUCAGCUUGGUUCUUUUUUAAAAAUAAUUCCGCUCUUUUUCGGUUAUCGAUUUAAUUUGCAUACAGAUGUGAUUCAAUUUGCAACUUUUCGAUUCCUCCUUCAAGCUGUUCAAUUUUCUGGUGCUUACCGAUUUGAAUACACUAGUUGCAUGUGGAACAUGGCUUGGUUUUUGAUUAAAAUCUUAUGUAGGAUUGUAAGGGAGUGUAAUGUGUUGCUUUAUGGCUGUACUUGAUAAGGUUGCUGAACUUGGUUGAAAAAUUUAGCUGUAGGUGGUCGGAAGGUCUGAGCUGAUUUGUUGAGUAAGAAAGAGAAUAAAUGGAGAAUUUAAAUACUUGAUUGAGUCUAAGUCUCACUAAAUAUGGGAGUAAGGAGGUGUAAACAAUCUAAAACCAAUUGGUGUUAAAAAACUUUUUUAAUUUUAGUACCAAAAUGGUAUAGUUAGUUCUCAAAUAGUUUACCAGUAGAUAAUAGUUGUUGGACAUCAUUACUAAAUUGUUAGUGGUUAUAAAUUGUUAGAGGCAAUCCCAAUAGAAAAAUUCACUUCAAUUGGGAAGAUAUUACCAACUAGAAAGAAUUGGAUGUUUAAAGAAUAAAACAUGUGCUUCUAAAUUAAGAGUUUUUUUUAGUGUUUUGACUAAGUCUUCAAGGUUAUAUAAGAAUAGUAGUAGAUAUUUCUAAGGAGUCUAAGACAAACAACAAUUGGAGUAAACUAGAUUGCCACAAAGAUAAGUGGUUAUUCAACUAACAUUGAAUUGUUGUUAAGUUUUCAAAUUGAAGUUAAUAAGUAUU
Non-coding RNA from Physcomitrium patens, 3280 nucleotides. The record is from RefSeq and is a predicted model, not a curated record. NCBI's taxonomy places the organism in Eukaryota, Viridiplantae, Streptophyta, Bryopsida, Funariales, Funariaceae.